Molecule: ribosomal RNA, 467 nt
Filed under: uncultured bacterium
Lineage: Bacteria
Description: partial 16S ribosomal RNA
Rfam family: Bacterial small subunit ribosomal RNA
Source: RNAcentral
GACGAACGCUGGCGGCGUGCUUAACACAUGCAAGUCGAACGGAAAGGCCCUGCUUUUGUGGGGUGCUCGAGUGGCGAACGGGUGAGUAACACGUGAGUAACCUGCCCUUGACUUUGGGAUAACUUCAGGAAACUGGGGCUAAUACCGGAUAGGAGCUCCUGCUGCAUGGUGGGGGUUGGAAAGUUUCGGCGGUUGGGGAUGGACUCGCGGCUUAUCAGCUUGUUGGUGGGGUAGUGGCUUACCAAGGCUUUGACGGGUAGCCGGCCUGAGAGGGUGACCGGCCACAUUGGGACUGAGAUACGGCCCAGACUCCUACGGGAGGCAGCAGUGGGGAAUAUUGCACAAUGGCGGAAGCCUGAUGCAGCAACGCCGCGUGCGGGAUGACGGCCUUCGGGUUGUAAACCGCUUUCGCCUGUGACGAAGCGUAAGUGACGGUAAUGGGUAAAGAAGCACCGGCUAACUACGUG